RNAcentral lists this non-coding RNA (45 nucleotides) under Echinostoma caproni. Lineage: Eukaryota; Metazoa; Platyhelminthes; Trematoda; Plagiorchiida; Echinostomatidae. The record is from RNAcentral.
GCACUGUUGACAAGUCCUAAACAGGACGAAACGGUUGUCCAGUGC